UACAGAGGUCCCGAGCGUUGUUCGGAUUCACUGGGCGUAAAGGGUGCGUAGGUGGUGAGGUAAGUCGGAUAUGAAAGCUCCAAGCUCAACUUGGAAAUGGCAUUGGAAACUACCUUGCUAGAGGGUUUGAGGGGGGACUGGAAUACUUGGUGUAGCAGUGAAAUGCGUAGAUAUCAAGUGGAACACCAGUGGCGAAGGCGAGUCCCUGGAAAACUCCUGACACUGAGGCACGAAAGCUAGGGGAGCAAACAGG
This 253-nucleotide ribosomal RNA is filed under the name uncultured bacterium. RNAcentral describes it as "partial 16S ribosomal RNA". It matches the Rfam family "Bacterial small subunit ribosomal RNA", at positions 524 to 776 of the family's 1533-position model. The record is from RNAcentral.